Molecule: non-coding RNA, 30 nt
Filed under: Mus musculus (house mouse)
Lineage: Eukaryota; Metazoa; Chordata; Mammalia; Rodentia; Muridae
Source: RNAcentral
UGAGCAAGAUCAUGGUACCUGGAUUGCUGG